This 255-nucleotide ribosomal RNA is filed under the name uncultured bacterium. Its description in RNAcentral is "partial 16S ribosomal RNA". It matches the Rfam family "Bacterial small subunit ribosomal RNA", at positions 524 to 776 of the family's 1533-position model. The record is from RNAcentral.
UACGUAGGGCGCAAGCGUUGUCCGGAAUUAUUGGGCGUAAAGAGCUCGUAGGCGGUUUGUCGCGUCUGCUGUGAAAACCUAAGGCUCAACCUUGGGCUUGCAGUGGGUACGGGCAGACUAGAGUGCGGUAGGGGUGACUGGAAUUCCUGGUGUAGCGGUGGAAUGCGCAGAUAUCAGGAGGAACACCGAUGGCGAAGGCAGGUCACUGGGCCGCAACUGACGCUGAGGAAGCGAAAGCAUGGGGGAGCAAACAGG